Molecule: non-coding RNA, 47 nt
Filed under: Trypanosoma brucei brucei
Lineage: Eukaryota; Euglenozoa; Kinetoplastea; Trypanosomatida; Trypanosomatidae
Source: RNAcentral
AUAGUAACGUACAUAUUAACUCUUCCAGUGACAUAUAGAAUAAUGCU